CAGGCAAGAAGCUUGCAUGUGUUUGCUGACGAGUGGCGGACGGGUGAGUAAUGUCAGGGAAACUGCCUGAUGGAGGGGGAUAACUACUGGAAACGGUAGCUAAUACCGCAUAACGUCGCAAGACCAAAGAGGGGGACCUUCGGGCCUCUUGCCAUCGGAUGUGCCCAGAUGGGAUUAGCUAGUAGGUGGGGUAACGGCUCACCUAGGCGACGAUCCCUAGCUGGUCUGAGAGGAUGACCACACUGGAACUGAGACACGGUCCAGACUCCUACGGGAGGCAGCAGUGGGGAAUAUUGCACAAUGGGCGCAAGCCUGAUGCAGCCAUGCCGCGUGUAUGAAGAAGGCCUUCGGGUUGUAAAGUACUUUCAGCGGGGAGGAAGGGAGUAAAGUUAAUACCUUUGCUUCACUGACGGUACCCGCAGAAGAAGCACCGGCUAACUCCGUGCCAGCAGCCGUGGUAAUUACGGAGGGUGCAAGCGUUAAUCGGAAUUACUGGGCGG
RNAcentral lists this ribosomal RNA (500 nucleotides) under uncultured bacterium. Its description in RNAcentral is "bacterial SSU rRNA". It matches the Rfam family "Bacterial small subunit ribosomal RNA", at positions 63 to 561 of the family's 1533-position model. The record is from RNAcentral.